RNAcentral lists this ribosomal RNA (471 nucleotides) under Triticum aestivum (bread wheat). Its description in RNAcentral is "partial small subunit ribosomal RNA". Lineage: Eukaryota; Viridiplantae; Streptophyta; Magnoliopsida; Poales; Poaceae. The record is from RNAcentral.
AUGGACGAGCUCCGACGGCACAGCAUACUUUUGUGCGCCCCCACCGACGCCCCCACAAGCCCGUGUUGUUCCUGCUUGCCUCUCCCCUGCUCCUGCGCUCUGUGCAGCACCACCAACACGUCGUCGACUGCGCCAAUGGUCAACUGCAGCCUCAGCGCCACCAACGACAUGAGCGGCCCGGCCCCGGCUCGCACCCGUGACGUGGGCUUGAUCCCGCAGAGACUGACGGACCAAGUCAGCCGCAAGGCUCCUCUCGACGGCGACGUUCAGCCUCUACAGUGCCAACCUUGCCUGCGUGUUGAUCUGAUUGUGGAUGGCGACCCAAAGCUCGGGCGUGCCUUGGCCACUGGGGAGGGCAUCAAGACUGAGAGUCAUGACGUAGAGGCUCAAGUGGUGCCCGACAUCGACAUCGACGAGGUACCCAAGCUCGUGUCGGCCCUGCUGGAGUGGCCCGCCUCCAGCCUUGGCUAG